GAUGAACGCUGGCGGCGUGCCUAAUACAUGCAAGUCGAGCGAACAGAUGAGGAGCUUGCUCCUCUGACGUUAGCGGCGGACGGGUGAGUAACACGUGGAUAACCUACCUAUAAGACUGGGAUAACUUCGGGAAACCGGAGCUAAUACCGGAUAAUAUAUUGCACCGCAUGGUUCAAUAGUGAAAGACGGUUUUGCUGUCACUUAUAGAUGGAUCCGCGCCGCAUUAGCUAGUUGGUAAGGUAACGGCUUACCAAGGCAACGAUGCGUAGCCGACCUGAGAGAGUGAUCGGCCACCCUGGAACUGAAACACGGUCCAGACUCCUACGGGAGGCAGCAGUAGGGAAUCUUCCGCAAUGGGCGAAAGCCUGACGGAGCAACGCCGCGUGAGUGAUGAAGGUCUUCGGAUCGUAAAACUCUGUUAUUAGGGAAGAACAAAUGUGUAAGUAACUAUGCACGUCUUGACGGUACCGAAUCAGAAAGCCACGGCUAACUACGUG
Molecule: ribosomal RNA, 497 nt
Filed under: uncultured bacterium
Lineage: Bacteria
Description: partial 16S ribosomal RNA
Rfam family: Bacterial small subunit ribosomal RNA
Source: RNAcentral